RNAcentral lists this unclassified non-coding RNA (75 nucleotides) under Selenihalanaerobacter shriftii. The record is from RNAcentral. Lineage: Bacteria; Bacillati; Bacillota; Clostridia; Halanaerobiales; Halobacteroidaceae.
AAGAGCCCGGUGCGGUAAUUCCGCACGCCGGGAUCUGUGUGGGGGACGCUGGGCAACUAGCGUUCCUACCAUGAC